This is a long non-coding RNA of Cryptotermes secundus, 972 nucleotides long. RefSeq lists it as uncharacterized. Lineage: Eukaryota; Metazoa; Arthropoda; Insecta; Blattodea; Kalotermitidae. The record is from RefSeq and is a predicted model, not a curated record. The transcript has 2 exons.
UCAUCUUUCGCGUUACUAUUACAAAUGUACUGUUAUCAAGACCAGCUGCUCUGUGUCAUCAGAUUACCAUUUUUAUGAAGUAUGUAUGCUAUUGAGAUCAUAACAGAUGUGCCUACAGUAGAAUUACAUCAUCACAUUAAUAUGCCUCUUCAUUAUUCUGCAUAUGAAACUGCCAGACAGAUAUAUCUCCCACAUAAUGCAGUAAUAGUACCAGUGGAACAUCAUCUUUCUGUUGUCUCAACAACUCGUACAAGAAGACAAAUAGCAAGCUGUUGGUGUCACUCGGUGCAGAGACAACUAUCAGCUUUUGAAUCAACAUGGGCUCUGGAUUUGGAAAUGAUGUUUUCAAUGGCUUCUUCUGGCUCCUGGUAUUAAUAUUAGUGUCAUGGUGGAUUGCAGCAAUCUGUUUCUUUCCAUUCCUAGUAUUCAGUGUCCUAACACCCUGUAUCAGAGGUUUCAAAAAUGUGUAUGAACUACUUCUAGCUGGUGUAAUGUUUCCACACAAGUGCUCUGACAAUAUGAUAAAUCGAAGAUCAUACGACUCAUUUUGAGAUUACCGAGACAAAACUGGUAACUUGAAAUUAAAGAUCUGAUAUAUACAUACAUCAAAGAAUUUUAAAGUGAUCGUUCUGUUUCUCUUUUGGGAGUGGGUAUGUGACAAUUAAUGAUGGCAAAUAUAGGCUUGAAAACUGUCUCGGCUAGGCACUAACUAUGAUUUAGACCAGCCUAUCAACCUACAUAUAUGGACAAAACUGGGAUGUCAAGUGACCUCCACUUCCUGAAUUGGUUGUGGCUUUAUACAGUGCUAAGAAUAGGAGAACAUGCAUCUGGAGAGACAGUGUAAUUUAGAAACUGAUGGUUCCUUAAAUAUGACUGUUAACAAAUAAUAAAAUUAAGAUGGAGAAAUCUGAUAUGUUCUUGUAUAAUUUCAGGUAAUUAAAGUGUGAAGAAAAGAACUAUUCUUGCACAUUA